Molecule: ribosomal RNA, 460 nt
Filed under: Astrothelium aff. sepultum MPN229
Lineage: Eukaryota; Fungi; Ascomycota; Dothideomycetes; Trypetheliales; Trypetheliaceae
Description: eukaryotic LSU rRNA
Rfam family: Eukaryotic large subunit ribosomal RNA
Source: RNAcentral
GAGUUGUAAUUUGCAGAGGAUGUCAUGGGAUUUGUGUGGGCGCAAGUUCUUUGGAAAAAGACGCCAUGGAGAGUGACAGUCUCGUCCCGUCCCACCACACUUUCCGCCGUAUGACUCCUUCAAAGAGUCGAGUUGUUUGGGAAUGCAGCUCAAAGUGGGACGUAAAUUUGUUCCAAAGCUAAAUACCGGCUAGAGACCGAUAGCGCACAAGUAGAGUGAUCGAAAGAUGAAAAGCACUUUGAAAAGAGAGUUAAAAAGCACGUGAAAUUGUUGAAAGGGAAGCUUAUGCCAUCAGAAAUGGCGUCAAUGUUCAGCCUUUUUGGUGUACUCAUUGAUUGGCCAUGCUAGCAUCAAUUGGGAUAGUCGGAUAAAAGUGUUGGAAAUGUAGCUCCCUCGGGAGUGUUAUAGUCCGACACAGAAUGCGUCUAAUCCCGAUUGAGGACCGCCUUUUUUAGGAUGC